UGUUGGGAUUUUUAUGGAUAAUUACAUUACACAGGCUCUCAUAAUGUCAGAUGUAAUAUAAUAAAUAGGCUGUUCACUUUGGUGUUCCCUAUAGUCAGCUAGAGCUAUCUGGAAGACAACUCCUCAUUUUUCUGGUUUGUGUGAAAAUUAUGUCUUAUUUUUCGGGAGCUCUUUACUUAGCAGAACACCACACAGCCCAGCAGUUGCUCGUCACAGCUGUAAUUAGAUUAUAUCAAACCAGCAGUGUUGAAACACUGGUGCCUGCAUUGCCUUGCUCAGCUGUAACUCCUGAGCUCUUCCAAAGCACUGAGCUGGCCGCAGUGAUGAGGAUGACAACAGUGAUAUGUGGCAGGUGAGGGUAGGUCCUACCCUGGGAGGUGUUAAAAACACUGCCCCUUUCAUUCCCAACCUGCCCUUUGUUGUUGGAGGUACUCUGCACGUUGAAGAGGGCAUUCAGGAUCUGGUCAAGGUGGGAAGACAGCACAGUCCAAGUGUUGACCUAACCUCCCCACAUAGCCCUGCAAGGAGAAAAGGGCCUGUCCAGAUUAAACCAGGCUUUACUCCAUUAUGAAGUCUCAAGAAAAUCAAGAGCAAAUGAAGAUACAGUGGAAAAUGAAACGCUACUAGGACCACUGCUCAGGGAGUCUGACAAAAAAAAAAAAAACGACAAAAAGGUAAGCUAUUUUUCUGUUCUUAACUAACAGCUUUCUGAAUUAUUUUUUAUCUGGAGGAAUGUGUAGCACUUCCUACAGACAGGUUUAAAUAGCAAGUCAUGCUUUCCCAG
RNAcentral lists this long non-coding RNA (784 nucleotides) under Anas platyrhynchos platyrhynchos (common mallard). Its description in RNAcentral is "lncRNA (ENSAPLG00000021389.1)". The record is from RNAcentral. Lineage: Eukaryota; Metazoa; Chordata; Aves; Anseriformes; Anatidae.